AGCGAGGUGGGGAAGCCAGGUUAUCCCGGCGGGCUCAUAACCCGCAGAGCGGUUUCCACUUUCUGCAAAAUUGCAGGUGGCCGUAAGUUCAAAUCAACCCCUCGCUA
Molecule: transfer RNA, 107 nt
Filed under: uncultured Nitrososphaera sp.
Lineage: Archaea; Thermoproteati; Nitrososphaerota; Nitrososphaeria; Nitrososphaerales; Nitrososphaeraceae
Rfam family: tRNA
About the family: Transfer RNA (tRNA) molecules are approximately 80 nucleotides in length. Their secondary structure includes four short double-helical elements and three loops (D, anti-codon, and T loops).
Source: RNAcentral